UGGGGAAUAUUGGACAAUGGGCGGAAGCCUGAUCCAGCAACGCCGCGUGAGGGAUGACGGCCUUCGGGUUGUAAACCUCUUUCAGUACCGACGAAGCGAAAGUGACGGUAGGUACAGAAGAAGGACCGGCCAACUACGUGCCAGCAGCCGCGGUAAUACGUAGGGUCCGAGCGUUGUCCGGAAUUAUUGGGCGUAAAGGGCUCGUAGGCGGUUUGUCGCGUCGGGAGUGAAAACCAUGGGCUUAACUCAUGGCUUGCUUUCGAUAAGGGCAGACUAGAGGUAUGCAGGGGAGAAUGGAAUUCCUGGUGUAGCGGUGAAAUGCGCAGAUAUCAGAAGGAACACCGGUGGCGAAGGCGGUUCUCUGGGCAUUACCUGACGCUGAGGAGCGAAAGUGUGGGGAGCGAACAGG
RNAcentral lists this ribosomal RNA (409 nucleotides) under bacterium. RNAcentral describes it as "partial 16S ribosomal RNA". It matches the Rfam family "Bacterial small subunit ribosomal RNA", at positions 355 to 776 of the family's 1533-position model. The record is from RNAcentral.